Molecule: ribosomal RNA, 252 nt
Filed under: uncultured bacterium
Lineage: Bacteria
Description: partial 16S ribosomal RNA
Rfam family: Bacterial small subunit ribosomal RNA
Source: RNAcentral
UACAGAGGUCCCAAGCGUUGUUCGGAUUCACUGGGCGUAAAGGGUGCGUAGGUGCAGGGUAAGUUUGAUGUGAAAUCUCCGGGCUUAACCCGGAAACUGCAUUGAAUACUAUCCCGCUCGAGGAUUGGAAGGGAGACUGGAAUACUUGGUGUAGCAGUGAAAUGCGUAGAUAUCAAGUGGAACACCAGUGGCGAAGGCGAGUCUCUGGACAAUUCCUGACACUGAGGCACGAAAGCUAGGGGAGCAAACAGG